Long non-coding RNA from Rattus norvegicus (Norway rat), 904 nucleotides. RefSeq lists it as uncharacterized. NCBI's taxonomy places the organism in Eukaryota, Metazoa, Chordata, Mammalia, Rodentia, Muridae. The record is from RefSeq and is a predicted model, not a curated record.
AUUGGCAGUUACAGGCUGCCCAACAUGGACGCUGGGAACCAAACUCCGGUCAGCCAUGGGCCAGCUAGCUUGGAGUAUGCUGUCUAACAGCAGAGACAUGCUGGAACUUGCUACGCUCCAUCUGGACGAUGCAUCUCUAGAGAGCCGGGUCACACAUGGGCAGCUUUCACAGCACUGGGGUGAGGAGAAGAGGAAGAGAGGAGAGACACCAUGGAGUAGCUUCCAUCGCACUCCAUCAUGGAAGACGUCUGGGUGGGAAUCUGGAAGCAGGAACUGAGGCAGAGGCCUCUGAAGCAUGCUCCUUCCGGAGAUACUUGCUGAAGAGUUUAAGAGAGAAAUGUCGCAUUGCCUACAAUUCACGUUACCAUGGUUCAGGAAAGAAAAUCAAGAGCGGGAGGAAAUAUAAGCUCUACUACAAAGUGUCUCAUCUGCAGCUGACACCGCUGUGAAUACAACAUAACUGAAUGGCAACAAUCCAGCGUGGUGGGCGUCAUCCGAGGCCGACAAGAUCACGCGUUUUCCUUCGCUUUCUCCUUUGUGAGGUUUGCUCAUGACCCCAUCCACUUCCCAUUCCUCCGCUUUACGUGCUGUUUGACUUAUGUUUGUGAAGACUUUAAAAUUUGUGCCCAUUUUAAAUAAAGGUAAAAUGGAAAACAAAGCUGAACUUCACCCAAUUAUGAGACCCCAAAAGAGGAAACGUGAGUUGGGGGCCGGGGGAGGGGGAAGGUGUUUCUAAAACUCUAAAGUCAGUGAGCUCAGGAUACAGCUCGGUGGUAGAACAGGGUCCUGUGUUCAGUCACUAGACCACCCAACAGCAAAUAGAAAAGGACAAAGAGGUAGCACCAGAUGUUUACAUGGCCUCAUGACCAUGAUGUGUCGGUAAAGCACGAAAUAGUAAUGCCAA